Molecule: long non-coding RNA, 449 nt
Organism: Eurytemora carolleeae
Lineage: Eukaryota; Metazoa; Arthropoda; Copepoda; Calanoida; Temoridae
Exons: 2
Source: RefSeq, a predicted model, not a curated record
UGUUGCAUAGAAUUGUUCAGCUCAGUAUCUGGAAAACAGUCUAUCUGUUUUUAUCCUAUAGAACACUUAUCUACGGCAAAACACAAGAAUGUUGUGCAUGAAUGUCUGCACAUUCUUUGCUCUUCUGUAUCUGUCCCAUUCUGUACAAAGUGCACAGUUUGGUUCCAAUACAGUCUCCUUGUCAGGAGGAGGAAUUGAUGGCUCCAAUGCAGUUCCCAAUGGAGGAUCAGGUGGCUCCAAUGUAGUUCCCACUGAAGGAUUUGGUCGCUCCAAUGCAGUUCCCUCUAAAUUAGAACGUGCUAAUUGGAGUUGGAUGAGUAAUUAUUGGAAUUAUUGGAGUUGGAGUUGGCAGGGUUCUGAUUAUUGAUUACAGCCACUGGAUUAUGGACAUGGAACGUAUUUUGUACAUUUUUAAAAAUCUAAAUAAAUGUUUAGGCUUUUUCUGAAAA